UCAUGCAAUCAUACCAGCACUAAUGGACCGGAUCCCAUCAGAAGUUCGAAGUUAAGCGUGCUUGGGCGAGAGUAGUACUAGGAUGGGUGACUAGCUGGGAAGUCUUUGUGUUUCAUCCU
RNAcentral lists this ribosomal RNA (119 nucleotides) under Capsicum annuum. Lineage: Eukaryota; Viridiplantae; Streptophyta; Magnoliopsida; Solanales; Solanaceae. The record is from RNAcentral.